Long non-coding RNA from Tupaia belangeri chinensis (Chinese tree shrew), 541 nucleotides. RefSeq lists it as uncharacterized. The record is from RefSeq and is a predicted model, not a curated record. Lineage: Eukaryota; Metazoa; Chordata; Mammalia; Scandentia; Tupaiidae. The transcript has 3 exons.
CUUCCCAUCUCACUGACUCCUUCUGUCUCUCUCUCUGGAAUUUCAUAGGAAUGACAAUGGCCUCAAAAUCCCAGCAAAUGAAUAAACGACACUGCCCAUGACGGGGAGGACCAUCAUGAACAACGCCUUUCAGAGACCAUCACAAAAGUUGCUACCUCCUACGACAGCUGACACACGACAGGACAGGACACUGAAUAUCCUCAAUCAAUAUUCAUCAAAUAAUGAAUGCGUCAGUGAAAAAAAGGAAGAAGGGGAACUCCAUCUGACAAUGGACACCUCUACGGGGAUCUUCUAGCUGGUGAUGAUUAUGUUGUAGGUGCCCAUGAUGGUUUUAAUCAGCGGAUAUUGUUUUGAAAACAAAAAACAGGAUUCAGUGUCCUCUCUCCCCAUUGGGAUAAACUGUCAUGACAAUGCCAUUGCCAUUACAAAUGCCAUCCCCAAUACAGGACGUGACGCAUAACCAAUACUAACACAUGCCAUUUGAAGCUUUAACAAGACAGUCCUCCUUCAAAUUUAUAACAGCCUAUGUUUAAAAACCUGA